AACAAAAUCUGUAAUUUGUAUCCAGAAAUUAACAUUAAUUGCAGAUGCUGUAUCCUCGUUUUCGCAGGGUUCUUUUCAAAGGAUGCUGUUCAAAGGAAACAUCACUCUGUUCAAAUUGUGCUGGCAUGACACAGGCCAACCACAAGGCAUCAUGCAAAUGAGGCCAGCGAGCUCUGUUCAGUGUGCUUUACUGCUGUCUGCCUGGUUGUUAUAGUGAUAAGCCGAGGCCCUGAGCCUCUCCGAUCCUACUUUUAAGAUUUCACAGCAACCUUCUUUUUUUCUCCAGGGAUAAUUAGAGGAAGGAAGAAAAAAAAAAUUACAUCACGAAGAAUACCCGAGAGGAUAUCUUUAGAUUGGAGAGCACUGAGAGGAGCCUGUUCUGGCCAUGCCAGUUCUCAGCAUUGAUGCUGAGUCAGAAAUAGGUAUCCCAAAAUCCCUUUGUGAUGAACUUCCCUUAAAAGCCAUGGAGGAAUUAGAGCACACUUGCCCUCAGCCUCGCUUGGUAAGUAGACAGAAAAUGUUCCAUCCGCCUGUGAGUGAAACACAAAGGAUUUAAAGAAAGCCGUGCUUGCAGAUGCAUUGUGUAAACAAGUAAGCUGCAGAUUAAUCCAUCUGCUGUGUGCUCCAUACAGUAUCUGCUGCAUGCAGGGAACUUUGAUUACAAGGGAGCAGUGAACAGGGAGGGCUAAGACAGCUUUCCUGUAAUUGCCCACAGUGUGUAUGUGUGUGUUACAAUGUAACGAGUCAGUCACCCUUUAGGAUUUAUAGGAAUUGAAUUCUUCUUUUUCAGGGGUUACUCAUUAGAGCUGAAAUUUUCAUGUCAUUAGUUUGGUCCCUAAAGACCCUGUGCCAGUAUUCAAUGUCCUUUUAAUUUCGCAUUUGCAUAUCUAUACAUUCUGAAUAUUGAUAAAUGCUCCAUUCUGAAAGAAGAUCUUUAAAGGCUAGUUUGUUAUGACAGACUUAUUCAGUUAUUGGACCUUUAGGGAUUAAAAUCCCAGUAGGCAUUAUAGAGAAGUAUCAGAACCCUUCGUUCCCUUGUAUAGUAUAGUACUAUAACCACGAUUCUCCUAAAUAAACCACAUCGCAAACUGACUUGAGAUAACCUAUGAUUUAUAUACUAUGGCCAUAAUAUUAAUGUAACCAAAUGCGUUAUAGACGUUGUAUUGCCCUGCAAGUGAUGAGGCAUGGUAUUCUUGUAACAGGCCCAUUCUUUAAAAAAAAUUUUUUAAUAAAUUCCCAUACUGUUGAUUAGGAUAUGUACUGAGGCAGGAUGUCUUGCAUGUUAUGUUGAAUAUUAGAUUAGCUUUUUGCCUUUUUUGAUUGCAGAAAAUAAUAUGGACAGUAAAAAUCAGCUAAGCGAUUGAUGGCUUGUAAAUAAAAGGUUAAACACUUUCAGGGUAUUCACUAAAUUGAGAAUUCAAGGUGACUUGGAAGUGCAUUUUAGAUGCAAGAUCUAAAUAGCCAAAUGGAAAUAUUCUCUAAGUUAGUUUUGUUUUCAAUUUGAAAUUCUGUUUGAAUUCUCAGUGUAGUAAAUUACUCUGUUUUUAAUUAUCAGAAGCAUAUACCCAUAUUAGUAAACUAAUCUAUAAUUUUAAUUUUAUAAAUGCCAUGCUUAUUGUGAACAGCUUUAAUUAUGAUAAUCAACUAUUAGCUAUAAGAAAUCUACCACGAUUACUAUGUAUCAAUUCAUUUUUAAUUCGGGUACUGUUAUAACUCGUCUGCAUUCUAUUUUCUAGACAUAUUUGGGAUUGCUAGCUAAACAUGGAAGUGUGUUAAACUGGCGUAAGAAUUGUACUUCUUAGGACAAAAAAUCAACAUUUCACCUUUUUUUUUUACAGCUUAUCUAUUUUGGCAUAACAUUUCUUGUCAGUUAUCCACAUUUCCUUUUUUGUGACUCACAGCAAAUUCCAGGUUUGAAAAUUUAACAGAAUAUGCGAGGAAAAAGCGUUGACAGACG
Molecule: long non-coding RNA, 1957 nt
Filed under: Pelobates cultripes (western spadefoot toad)
Lineage: Eukaryota; Metazoa; Chordata; Amphibia; Anura; Pelobatidae
Source: RNAcentral